GACGAACGCUGGCGGCGUGCUUAACACAUGCAAGUCGAACGGAAAGGCCCUGCUUUUGUUGGGUGCUCGAGUGGCGAACGGGUGAGUAAGACGUGAGUAACCUGCCCUUGACUGUGGGAUAACUGCAGGAAACUGGGGCUAAUACCGGAUAGGAGCUCCUGCUGCAUGGUGUUGGUUGGAAAGUUUCGGCGGUUGGGGAUUGACUCGCGGCUUAUCAGCUUGUUGGUGGGGUAGUGGCUUACUAAGGUUUUGGCGGGUAGCCGGCCUGAGAGGGUGACCGGCCACAUUGGCACUGGGGUACGGGCCAGACUCCUACGGGAGGCAGCGGUGGGAAAUAGUGCACGAUGGGCGGAAGCCUGAUGCAGCAACUCCGCGUGCUGGAUGACUGCUUUCAGGUUGUAAACCGCUUUCGCCUGUAACGAAGAGUGAGUGACGGUAAUGUGUAAAGAAGCAACGGCUAACUACGUG
This 468-nucleotide ribosomal RNA is filed under the name uncultured bacterium. Its description in RNAcentral is "partial 16S ribosomal RNA". It matches the Rfam family "Bacterial small subunit ribosomal RNA", at positions 28 to 507 of the family's 1533-position model. The record is from RNAcentral.